GACGAACCGUCCGAACGUUGUUCGGAAUCACUGGGCUUAAAGGGCGCGUAGGCGGGUUGCCAAGUCUGUGGUGAAAUCCUCCAGCUUAACUGGAGAACUGCCGUGGAUACUGGCGACCUCGAGGAAGAUAGGGGACUCUGGAACUGUGCGUGGAGCGGUGAAAUGCGUUGAUAUGCACAGGAACUCCGGUGGCGAAGGCGAGGGUCUGGAUCUUUUCUGACGCUGAGGCGCGAAAGCUAGGGGAGCGAACGGG
RNAcentral lists this ribosomal RNA (253 nucleotides) under uncultured bacterium. RNAcentral's name for it is "partial 16S ribosomal RNA". It matches the Rfam family "Bacterial small subunit ribosomal RNA", at positions 524 to 776 of the family's 1533-position model. The record is from RNAcentral.